RNAcentral lists this transfer RNA (74 nucleotides) under Candidatus Chromulinivorax sp. RNAcentral describes it as "tRNA-Arg". It matches the Rfam family "tRNA". From Rfam's summary of the family: Transfer RNA (tRNA) molecules are approximately 80 nucleotides in length. Their secondary structure includes four short double-helical elements and three loops (D, anti-codon, and T loops). Further hydrogen bonds mediate the characteristic L-shaped molecular structure. tRNAs have two regions of fundamental functional importance: the anti-codon, which is responsible for specific mRNA codon recognition, and the 3' end, to which the tRNAs corresponding amino acid is attached (by aminoacyl-tRNA synthetases). tRNAs cope with the degeneracy of the genetic code in two manners: having more than one tRNA (with a specific anti-codon) for a particular amino acid; and 'wobble' base-pairing, i.e. permitting non-standard base-pairing at the 3rd anti-codon position. The record is from RNAcentral. Lineage: Bacteria; Candidatus Babeliae; Candidatus Babeliales; Candidatus Chromulinivoracaceae.
GCGCUCGUAGCUCAGUUGGAUAGAGCGACAGAUUCCUAAUCUGUAGGCCGUAGGUUCGAUCCCUAUCGGGCGCA